AUUCUGUGAUGACGGCACUGUCAUAAUAAUAAUUCUUUCUACCUUUCCCAUGCCUCAUACAAGGACUCAUCAUCCAUUUAUUGGAAAGUAGUGAUCUCAUUCCUCAACUU
Molecule: non-coding RNA, 110 nt
Organism: Gossypium hirsutum (cotton)
Lineage: Eukaryota; Viridiplantae; Streptophyta; Magnoliopsida; Malvales; Malvaceae
Source: Rfam